Molecule: non-coding RNA, 222 nt
Filed under: Clostridium beijerinckii
Lineage: Bacteria; Bacillati; Bacillota; Clostridia; Eubacteriales; Clostridiaceae
Source: RNAcentral
AAUAAAUGCAAACUAUAGUCUGCAUUUAAGUAAUAAGGGAAUGAAGUGAAAUUCUUCAACUACCCCAGUAACCGUGAAACUGACGAAAUCAAAGGCAGAAUCAAAAGUAACAAGUCCAAUAUUUUAUUUUUUGAUUAUGUCUAACGUGCCACUGAGAAAUUGGGAAGGCUUGAAAUUAGGAUGAAGUUAAGUCGGGAUACCUUGAUUUUAUACACCGAUAAU